UUUUGUUCUUUAUUUAAUUAUUUUGAUAUAAAUAGGUAUAAAUAUAUGUUUUUUAUAAAAGUUUGAUCCUUGCUUUUCUCUUUAUUAUAAGAAUGACGUUACAUGAAAGUUAAUGCGAGAGUGAUUGAAAAUAAAGUUUUUUAAUUAGUUCUCAGUACAUAGUUUUGGUGCUAAGUUAAUACUUGACCCAGUAAUUCUUUAAUUUCAGGCUAAAUUUGUGCCAGCAGCCGCGGUUAGACUAAAAAGUGAAAAUAAAGAUAAAAAGAUAUUAGUUAAAAUAGAAAUUUUAAAAAUUUAAGAUCAUGGGCCUAAGGGGUGAAAUCUAUAUACUUAUUAGUGAUGUGUUGUUUUUGAGAUUUAUUUUAAAACUAUCGAAAUUUAGAUUUAAACCAGGAUUAGAUACCCUGUUAUACUAAAAUGAAACAUAAUUACGCUUGAGUAGUAAAAAGUUAUGAUCUCGAAACUUAGAGGAUUUGGCGGUAUUUAACUCUAGUUAGAGGAACCUGCUCUGUAAACGAUAUGCCACGAAUUAUCUUACUUUAUCUUGUAUCCAGUUUGUAUACCUCCAUUACAAGUAAUAUUUUUAAAUAUUUUCUGAGAUAGAAAGCUUCUAAUAUAUUAGGUCAAGGUGCAGCUAAUGGUAAAGUAGCUGUGGGUUACAAUAUGUUAUACAUCUAUGGAUAAGUAUUAUGAAAUUAUGCUUUGAAAUUGGAUUUAAUUGUAUUCUUAAAAUAAUAAGUUAAGAUGAUAAUAGCUCUAAAAUAUGUACACAUCGCCCGUCGCUCUCAUUAUAAGGUGAGAUAAGUCGUAACAUAGUGGUUGUAUUGGAAGAUGCAUCUGGAAGUA
This 846-nucleotide non-coding RNA is filed under the name Palaemon carinicauda. Lineage: Eukaryota; Metazoa; Arthropoda; Malacostraca; Decapoda; Palaemonidae. The record is from RNAcentral.